This 253-nucleotide ribosomal RNA is filed under the name uncultured bacterium. RNAcentral describes it as "partial 16S ribosomal RNA". It matches the Rfam family "Bacterial small subunit ribosomal RNA", at positions 524 to 776 of the family's 1533-position model. The record is from RNAcentral.
UACGUAGGGUGCAAGCGUUGUCCGGAAUUAUUGGGCGUAAAGAGCUCGUAGGCGGUCUGUCGCGUCGGAUGUGAAAACCCAGGGCUCAACCCUGGGCCUGCAUUCGAUACGGGCAGACUAGAGUUCGGUAGGGGAGACUGGAAUUCCUGGUGUAGCGGUGAAAUGCGCAGAUAUCAGGAGGAACACCGGUGGCGAAGGCGGUUCUCUGGGCAUUACCUGACGCUGAGGAGCGAAAGUGUGGGGAGCGAACAGG